Molecule: ribosomal RNA, 634 nt
Filed under: uncultured bacterium
Lineage: Bacteria
Description: bacterial SSU rRNA
Rfam family: Bacterial small subunit ribosomal RNA
Source: RNAcentral
GGAUGGGCCCGCGGCCUAUCAGCUUGUUGGUGGGGUGAUGGCCUACCAAGGCGACGACGGGUAGCCGGCCUGAGAGGGCGACCGGCCACACUGGGACUGAGAUACGGCCCAGACUCCUACGGGAGGCAGCAGUGGGGAAUAUUGCGCAAUGGGCGGAAGCCUGACGCAGCGACGCCGCGUGGGGGAUGACGGCCCUAGGGUUGUAAAGCUCUUUUACCCGGGAAGAUAAUGACUGUACCGGGAGAAUAAGCCCCGGCUAACUCCGUGCCAGCAGCCGCGGUAAUACGGAGGGGGCUAGCGUUGUUCGGAAUUACUGGGCGUAAAGCGCACGUAGGCGGCUUUGUAAGUUAGAGGUGAAAGCCCGGGGCUCAACCCCGGAAUUGCCUUUAAGACUGCAUCGCUUGAACGUCGGAGAGGUGAGUGGAAUUCCGAGUGUAGAGGUGAAAUUCGUAGAUAUUCGGAAGAACACCAGUGGCGAAGGCGGCUCACUGGGCGACUGUUGACGCUGAGGUACGAAAGCGUGGGGAGCAAACAGGAUUAGAUACCCUGGUAGUCCACGCCGUAAACGAUGAUAACUAGCUGUCCGGGCACUUAGUGCUUGGGUGGCGCAGCUAACGCAUUAAGUUAUCCGCCU